This 915-nucleotide long non-coding RNA is filed under the name Brassica napus (rape). Its description in RNAcentral is "long non-coding RNA (BNAP_LNC016409)". The record is from RNAcentral. Lineage: Eukaryota; Viridiplantae; Streptophyta; Magnoliopsida; Brassicales; Brassicaceae.
AAGCCUUGGCUAAGUGUGUACUUUAGUUUGAAGAAUCAGUUUAAAAAAGGGUUUAAAUUAGUUACUUACAAAAAUCAAAAUUUGAACUAGUUAUAUUAAAAAAAAUCGAAAUUUAGUGAGAAAGACAUAUGGUCAUCCGCCACUAGGUCUAACUGUCAACAUAUACUACAUUUUAGUGGGUUAUCAAAUUGUAUUUCAUAUCCACAAUAGAUACAAAUCCAUCUAUUUAAUCUGCAACAAGCUUCGGUUGGAGAGUUUUACUUAACUAAUUUACUUCACCCAUGAGAAUUGGAUAUAACGGAAGGAAGCAUGUGAUUACCAUUAAAACAUUUAAACGUAAUGUUAUACAGCUUGCUUUUGAAAUUAAGUAAACAAUACUGGAUAUGUUUUUGGGCAAAUCUCCAAAAUAGCACAUUUCUAAGUUUAUAUCACAAAAAUAACACUCAAAACCUAAAAUGACCAAAAUAGCACAUUUCUAAGUUUAUUCUUUGAAAAUUUUAUUUUUUUUAUUUUUCAAAAUUUGAAAUCUUAUCCCCAAAACCUCAUUUCUCAACUCUAAACCCUAAACCAUAAACCCUAAACCCUAAACCAUAAACCCUAAACCCUAAAAUCUAAACCCUAAACCCUAAACUCUAAAUCUUAAACCCUAAAUUCUAAACCCUAAACCCUAAACCAUAAACCCUAAACCCUAAAAUCUAAACCCUAAACCCUAAACUCUAAAUCUUAAACCCUAAAUUCUAAACCCUAAACCCUAAACCAUAAACCCUAAACCCUAAAAUCUAAACCCUAAACCCUAAACUCUAAAUCUUAAACCCUAAAUUCUAAACCCUAAACCCUAAACCAUAAACCCUAAACCCUAAAAUCUAAACCCUAAACCCUAAACCCUAAACCCUAAACCCUAAAAAAAAAAAAAAA